UCUGCNGGAACUUAACUGACGCUAAUGCGUGAAAGCGUGGGGAGCAAACAGGAUUAGAUACCCUGGUAGUNCACGCCCUAAACGAUGUAUACCGGUUGUUGCUGUGCUAGUCACGGCAGUAAUCCACCUAACGGAUUAAGUAUACCGCCUGGGGAGUACGGUCGCAAGAUUAAAACUCAAAGGAAUAGACGGGGACCCGCACAAGCGGUGGAGCAUGUGGUUUAAUUCGAAGAUACGCGAAGAACCUUACCCGGACUUGAUAUCUAACAAAUCAUCCAGAGAUGGAAGAGUGUCUGCUUGCAGAAAUGUUAAGACAGGUGCUGCACGGCUGUCGUCAGCUCGUGUCGUGAGAUGUNNNNNNAAGUCCCGCAACGAGCGCAACCCACGUCAUUAGUUGCUAACGGUUCGGCCGAGCACUCUAAUGAGACUGCCUUCGUAAGGAGGAGGAAGGUGUGGACGACGUCAAGUCAUCAUGGCCCUUAUGUCCGGGGCGACACACGUGCUACAAUGGCAUAUACAAUAAGACGCAAUAUCGUAAGAUGGAGCAAAUCUAAAAAAUAUGUCCCAGUUCGGAUUGGAGUCUGCAACUCGACUCCAUGAAGCCGGAAUCGCUAGUAAUCGUAGAUCAGCCAUGCUACGGUGAAUACGUUCCCGGNU
This 657-nucleotide ribosomal RNA is filed under the name uncultured bacterium. Its description in RNAcentral is "bacterial SSU rRNA". It matches the Rfam family "Bacterial small subunit ribosomal RNA", at positions 725 to 1379 of the family's 1533-position model. The record is from RNAcentral.